This 264-nucleotide long non-coding RNA is filed under the name Gossypium barbadense (sea-island cotton). RNAcentral describes it as "long non-coding RNA (GBAR_LNC015129)". Lineage: Eukaryota; Viridiplantae; Streptophyta; Magnoliopsida; Malvales; Malvaceae. The record is from RNAcentral.
UUUUUUCUUCUUUUUCUUGCAGGGGUGGAUGGCGACGGUGGCAGAGCAGUUGGUGGUGGCAGGCUAGGGUGCGGUGGUGACUAGGUAGGGUGCAGCACGAGCUAGGGUUUUUUUCUAUAAAAUUUUAGGCUUUUGGGCCAUUUGGGCCAUUAGGGUUUUUUUUUGUUUUGGGCUAUUUGGGCCUAAUGUAGAUGGACUGUUUUUAAUUGGACUUUAAUUAUUUUUGUUUGAUUUAUUUUUCUGUUUGGUUUUUGUUUGGGCUCG